Long non-coding RNA from Oxyura jamaicensis (ruddy duck), 227 nucleotides. RefSeq lists it as uncharacterized. The record is from RefSeq and is a predicted model, not a curated record. The transcript has 2 exons. NCBI's taxonomy places the organism in Eukaryota, Metazoa, Chordata, Aves, Anseriformes, Anatidae.
CUUUGAUAGGAGUGAGGAGGAGAAAAAUGGUAGGUUCAGAAACAGGCCAGUGCUCAAGAAGCUUAAUAGGCUGAGGAGGAUUUAGCAAGUCAUUUAAUAACUGCAAGAAAUACACAGCGAGGAAAUGAUUUUUCAGUGAAAGCUGUGAAGACACCACUGUGAAAUUUCUCCUGGUUUGUUUCUCAGUGCUGCUUGUUGCUUGCAGCUGUGAUUCAGACACGCAUCAU